RNAcentral lists this ribosomal RNA (460 nucleotides) under uncultured bacterium. RNAcentral's name for it is "partial 16S ribosomal RNA". It matches the Rfam family "Bacterial small subunit ribosomal RNA", at positions 338 to 795 of the family's 1533-position model. The record is from RNAcentral.
CCUACGGGAGGCAGCAGUGAGGAAUAUUGGUCAAUGGCCGGAAGGCUGAACCAGCCAUGCCGCGUGAAGGUCAGUGCCCUAUGGGCGUUAAACUUCUUUUGUGCGGGAGCAAUAAUGGUCACGUGUGGCCAGACGAGAGUACCGUACGAAUAAGCCUCGGCUAACUCCGUGCCAGCAGCCGCGGUGAUACGGGGGAUGCAAGCGUUAUCCGGGUUUAUUUGGUUUAAAGGGUGCGUAGGCUGGGAGGUAAGUCAGAGGUGAAAUGCCCCCGCUCAACGGGGUGAAGUGCCAUUGAUACUGGCUUGCUGGAAUGCGGAUGACGUGGGAGGAAUGUGUGGUGUAGCGGUGAAAUGCAUAGAUAUCACACAGAACACCGAUUGCGAAGGUAUCUCACGAAUCCGCGAUUGACGCUGAUGCACGAAAGCGUGGGUAUCAAACAGGAUUAGAUACCCCUGUAGUC